Molecule: long non-coding RNA, 280 nt
Organism: Rhopalosiphum maidis (corn leaf aphid)
Lineage: Eukaryota; Metazoa; Arthropoda; Insecta; Hemiptera; Aphididae
Exons: 3
Source: RefSeq, a predicted model, not a curated record
AAUACUUUUGACAGUUGAUAUUAAGAUGAGCUAUUAUUGAUGCUGCCAAUCUUCCUCCGGUUGAAACGAAGCCGAGUGCCGACACAUUUUCCAUAAGCUCGAAUUUAAAACGGGUCGUAUACAAUAACCCGCCGGUUGCCGGUUGCCGACCACUUCAUUGGACUGGACGAUCGAAAAUAAAAUAUAGGACAAUUAACCUACGCAAGUAUCCUUCGACGCUAUUCGGGGAAAUCAAGCUGUGUCAUAUUAAAGUUCAAACGUGCACAGCCACCGAAGAAAC